RNAcentral lists this ribosomal RNA (466 nucleotides) under uncultured bacterium. Its description in RNAcentral is "partial 16S ribosomal RNA". It matches the Rfam family "Bacterial small subunit ribosomal RNA", at positions 28 to 507 of the family's 1533-position model. The record is from RNAcentral.
GACGAACGCUGGCGGCGUGCUUAACACAUGCAAGUCGAACGGAAAGGCCCUGCUUGCAGGGUACUCGAGUGGCGAACGGGUGAGUAACACGUGGGUGAUCUGCCCUGCGCUUCGGGAUAAGCUUGGGAAACUGGGUCUAAUACCGGAUAGGAACCAUCUUUAGUGUGGUGGUUGGAAAGUUUUUUCGGUGUAGGAUGAGCUCGCGGCCUAUCAGCUUGUUGGUGGGGUAAUGGCCUACCAAGGCGGCGACGGGUAGCCGGCCUGAGAGGGUGUACGGCCACAUUGGGACUGAGAUACGGCCCAGACUCCUACGGGAGGCAGCAGUGGGGAAUAUUGCACAAUGGGCGCAAGCCUGAUGCAGCGACGCCGCGUGGGGGAUGAAGGCCUUCGGGUUGUAAACUCCUUUCGCUAGGGACGAAGCUUUGUUGUGACGGUACCUAGAGAAGAAGCACCGGCUAACUACGUG